UACAUGUUUUACUCCACCAUUCACUCCUUUAUUGGUUUAACAAUUGUUCAAUUCAUUGAAUUUCCUCAAAAUUGAUUCAACAUUAAAUCGACUUUAAUAUUUUUUAAAUACUUGUUUAAAUCAUCCAAAACAAACAGGUCCAGUAUUUGUGCAACUUAUUGGAAAUAUAAAAUUUAUAUCAUCAAAGCCAGUUUUACCAUAAUAAUCAAGAAUUUUUAGCUUCCAAGCUCUUCAACGCUUGUUAUUUGUUUCUGACCCUCUGAUUAUUCAAUUGAAAAUUCAAUAAAUGAUAAGCUUUUUUACUCUGGAAAUUCAUUUCUGACAUUACUGUGACACUACGGUCAAACUACUGUCAAUUGUUACAAAUUUGACCAAACCCCAGCCAAGCUUGUCAACACUUAAAGUUCAUUUCAUUCAUUCAUUGAAACUUUAGAAACUCAUUCACAACAGUAAAUAGAUGCAUUGAACAUACAAUCGAACAAAAUGUUAAAAUUAAAACUCUUUUGUUCAAAAUCAUUGUACCAAUACUGUAAUCAUAGAUGGAUAAUGUAAAACAAUAUUUUACUUCGAGUAAA
Tetranychus urticae (two-spotted spider mite) is the source of this 575-nucleotide long non-coding RNA. RefSeq lists it as uncharacterized. Lineage: Eukaryota; Metazoa; Arthropoda; Arachnida; Trombidiformes; Tetranychidae. The record is from RefSeq and is a predicted model, not a curated record.